Molecule: ribosomal RNA, 497 nt
Filed under: uncultured bacterium
Lineage: Bacteria
Description: partial 16S ribosomal RNA
Rfam family: Bacterial small subunit ribosomal RNA
Source: RNAcentral
GAUGAACGCUGGCGGCGUGCCUAAUACAUGCAAGCCGAGCGAACGGACGAGAAGCUUGCUUCUCUGAUGUUAGCGGCGGACGGGUGAGUAACACGUGGAUAACCUACCUAUAAGACUGGGAUAACUUCGGGAAACCGGAGCUAAUACCGGAUAAUAUUUUGAACCGCAUGGUUCAAAAGUGAAAGACGGUCUUGCUGUCACUUAUAGAUGGAUCCGCGCUGCAUUAGCUAGUUGUUAAGGUAACGGCUUACCAAGGCAACGAUGCAUAGCCGACCUGAGAGGGUGAUCGGCCACACUGGAACUGAGACACGGUCCAGACUCCUACGGGAGGCAGCAGUAGGGAAUCUUCCGCAAUGGGCGAAAGCCUGACGGAGCAACGCCGCGUGAGUGAUGAAGGUCUUCGGAUCGUAAAACUCUGUUAUUAGGGAAGAACAUAUGUGUAAGUAACUGUGCACAUCUUGACGGUACCUAAUCAGAAAGCCACGGCUAACUACGUG